This 460-nucleotide ribosomal RNA is filed under the name uncultured bacterium. RNAcentral's name for it is "partial 16S ribosomal RNA". It matches the Rfam family "Bacterial small subunit ribosomal RNA", at positions 338 to 795 of the family's 1533-position model. The record is from RNAcentral.
CCUACGGGUGGCAGCAGUGAGGAAUAUUGGUCAAUGGUCGGGAGACUGAACCAGCCAAGCCGCGUGAGGGAUGAAGGUACAGAGUAUCGUAAACCUCUUUUGUCAGGGAACAAAGACUGGGACGCGUCCCCGGAUGAGUGUACCUGAAGAAAAAGCAUCGGCUAACUCCGUGCCAGCAGCCGCGGUAAUACGGAGGAUGCGAGCGUUAUCCGGAUUUAUUGGGUUUAAAGGGUGCGCAGGCGGGUUGUUAAGUCAGUUGUCAAAGUUUGCGGCUCAACCCCCGAAUUGCAGUUGAAACUGGCAUCCUUGAGUACGGGAGAGGUAGGCGGAAUGCGUGGUGUAGCGGUGAAAUGCAUAGAUAUCACGAAGAACUCCGAUUGCGAAGGCAGCAUGCUGGACUGUAACUGACGCUGAUGCACGAAAGUGUGGGUAUCGAACAGGAUUAGAUACCCGGGUAGUC